AUUGAACGCUGGCGGCAGGCCUAACACAUGCAAGUCGAACGGUAGCACAGAGAGCUUGCUCUCGGGUGACGAGUGGCGGACGGGUGAGUAACGUCUGGGAAACUGCCCGAUGGAGGGGGAUAACUACUGGAAACGGUAGCUAAUACCGCAUAACGUCGCAAGACCAAAGUGGGGGACCUUCGGGCCUCACACCAUCGGAUGUGCCCAGAUGGGAUUAGCUAGUAGGUGGGGUAAUGGCUCACAUAGGCGACGAUCCCUAGCUGGUCGGAGUGGAGGGCCAGCCACACUGGAACUGGGACACAGUCCAGACUCCUACGGGAGUCAGCAGUGGGGAAUAUUGCACAAUGGGCGCAAGCCUGAUGCAGCCAUGCCGCGUGUAUGAAGAAGGCCUUCGGGUUGUAAAGUACUUUCAGCGGGGAGGAAGGCGGUGAAGUUAAUAACUUCACCGAUUGACGUUACCCGCAGAAGAAGCACCGGCUAACUCCGUGCCAGCCGCCGCGGUAA
RNAcentral lists this ribosomal RNA (504 nucleotides) under uncultured bacterium. RNAcentral's name for it is "partial 16S ribosomal RNA". It matches the Rfam family "Bacterial small subunit ribosomal RNA", at positions 29 to 523 of the family's 1533-position model. The record is from RNAcentral.